RNAcentral lists this ribosomal RNA (404 nucleotides) under Monomorium cryptobium. RNAcentral describes it as "eukaryotic LSU rRNA". The record is from RNAcentral. Lineage: Eukaryota; Metazoa; Arthropoda; Insecta; Hymenoptera; Formicidae.
UUGAAAAGAACUUUGAAGAGAGAGUUCAAGAGUACGUGAAACCGUUCAGGGGUAAACCUAAGAAACCCAAAAGAUCGAACGGGGAGAUUCAUCGUCAGCGACGCUGGCUUCACGUCGGUGGGCGAUGCGGCGCGGGGCCUCGCGGCUCGCGCGCUCGCACGCUGCCGCGCGUCGAUGUCCGGCGUUCGUCGUCGUGCACUUCUCCCCUAAGUAGAACGUCGCGACCCGCUGGGUGUCGGUCUACGGCCCGGGUGCGGUGUCUGACGCGUCGCCGGUAAAACGGCACGCGUCAAACCCCCGGUCGCCCGGCCGGCUGCCCGGCGGUACACGCAAGGUAUCAGGCCGCAGCUCUCACGCGCGCGCCUCUCAGCCCCCUCUCCGGAGGGGACGCGGGGGUGUCGCGU